This 24-nucleotide microRNA is filed under the name Gossypium raimondii (Peruvian cotton). RNAcentral's name for it is "gra-miR8674b". The record is from miRBase by way of RNAcentral. Lineage: Eukaryota; Viridiplantae; Streptophyta; Magnoliopsida; Malvales; Malvaceae.
UUAGAAAUGGACCAUGGAUGAUGU